GAUGAACGCUGGCGGCGUGCCUAAUACAUGCAAGUCGAGCGAACAGACGAGGAGCUUGCUCCUCUGACGUUAGCGGCGGACGGGUGAGUAACACGUGGAUAACCUACCUAUAAGACUGGGAUAACUUCGGGAAACCGGAGCUAAUACCGGAUAAUAUAUUGAACCGCAUGGUUCAAUAGUGAAAGACGGUUUUGCUGUCACUUAUAGAUGGAUCCGCGCCGCAUUAGCUAGUUGGUAAGGUAACGGCUUACCAAGGCAACGAUGCGUAGCCGACCUGAGAGGCUGAUCGGCCACCCUGGAACGUGGACACGGUCCUGGCUCCUGCGGGAGGCAGCAGUCGGGAAUCUUCCGCAAUGGGCGAAAGCCUGACGGAGCAACCCCGCGUGAGUGAUGAAGGUCUUCCGAUCGUAAAACUCUGUUUUUAGGGAAGAACAAAUUUGUAAGUAACUAUGUACGUCUUGACGGUACCUAAUCAGAAAGCCACGGCUAACUACGUG
RNAcentral lists this ribosomal RNA (497 nucleotides) under uncultured bacterium. Its description in RNAcentral is "partial 16S ribosomal RNA". It matches the Rfam family "Bacterial small subunit ribosomal RNA", at positions 28 to 507 of the family's 1533-position model. The record is from RNAcentral.